UGACGACCAUAGAGCAUUGGAACCACCUGAUCCCAUCCCGAACUCAGUAGUGAAACGAUGCAUCGCCGAU
Molecule: ribosomal RNA, 70 nt
Filed under: Pseudomonas sp. 22 E 5
Lineage: Bacteria; Pseudomonadati; Pseudomonadota; Gammaproteobacteria; Pseudomonadales; Pseudomonadaceae
Source: RNAcentral